AGUGAACGCUGGCGGUAGGCCUAACACAUGCAAGUCGAACGGCAGCACAGUAAGAGCUUGCUCUUACGGGUGGCGAGUGGCGGACGGGUGAGGAAUACAUCGGAAUCUACUUUUUCGUGGGGGAUAACGUAGGGAAACUUACGCUAAUACCGCAUACGACCUACGGGUGAAAGCAGGGGAUCUUCGGACCUUGCGCGAUUGAAUUAGCCGAUGUCGGAUUAGCUAGUUGGCGGGGUAAAGGCCCACCAAGGCGACGAUCCGUAGCUGGUCUGAGAGGAUGAGCAGCCACACUGGAACUGAGACACGGUCCAGACUCCUACGGGAGGCAGCAGUGGGGAAUAUUGGACAAUGGGCGCAGGCCUGAUCCAGCCAUACCGCGUGGGUGAAGAAGGCCUUCGGGUUGUAAAGCCCUUUUGUUGGGAAAGAAAAGCAGCAGGUUAAUACCCCGCUGUUCUGACGGUACCCAAAGAAUAAGCACCGGCUAACUUCGUG
This 492-nucleotide ribosomal RNA is filed under the name uncultured bacterium. Its description in RNAcentral is "partial 16S ribosomal RNA". It matches the Rfam family "Bacterial small subunit ribosomal RNA", at positions 29 to 507 of the family's 1533-position model. The record is from RNAcentral.